Molecule: ribosomal RNA, 1014 nt
Filed under: uncultured bacterium
Lineage: Bacteria
Description: bacterial SSU rRNA
Rfam family: Bacterial small subunit ribosomal RNA
Source: RNAcentral
AGAGUUUGAUCCUGGCUCAGAACGAACGCUGGCGGCGUGUCUUAAGCAUGCAAGUCGAACGAUAACUCGAAGCUUGCUUCGAGGGACAGUGGCAAACGGGUGAGUAACACGUGGGUAACCUGCCUUCGGAUGGGGGAUAGCUCAAGGAAACUAGUGGUAAUACCGCAUAACGUCCAACCAUCAUAAGACGGAUGGAUUAAAGGCGCUUUCGGGCGUCAUCUGAAGAUGGGCCCGCGCACUAUUAGCUAGUUGGUAGGGUAACGGCCUACCAAGGCGACGAUGGUUAGCCGGCCUGAGAGGGUGUACGGCCACAUUGGGACUGAGAUACGGCCCAGACUCCUACGGGAGGCAGCAGCUAAGAAUAUUCCGCAAUGGGCGCAAGCCUGACGGAGCGACGCCGCGUGGAGGAUGAAGGCUUUCGGGUUGUAAACUCCUUUUCUUAGGGAAGAAUAAAGUUGGCAGGAAAUGGUCGACCGAUGACGGUACCUAAGGAAUAAGCCCCGGCUAAUUACGUGCCAGCAGCCGCGGUAAUACGUAUGGGGCAAGCGUUGUUCGGAUUCACUGGGCGUAAAGGGCGUGUAGGCGGUGUGGUAAGUCGGAUGUGAAAUCUCCAGGCUCAACCUGGAAACUGCAUUCGAAACUGCCAUGCUUGAGUACCGGAGAGGGAAACGGAAUUCCUGGUGUAGGGGUGAAAUCUGUAGAUAUCACGAAGAACACCGGUGGCGAACGCGGUUUCCUGGCCGGAUACUGACGCUGAGGCGCGAAAGCUAGGGGAGCAAACAGGAUUAGAUACCCUGGUAGUCCUAGCUGUAACGUGUGCACUAGUGUAAGUGGUUUCAAACCCACUUGUGCCGCAGCUACGCAUAGUGCACCGCCUGGGGAGUAUGCUCGCAGUGAACCUCAAGAUGACGGGCCCGCCAGCGGUGGACAUGUGGUAUCAUGACCCGAGACUUACAGUGGAUGCAUGACGGACGAAGAUCCUUCUCGGAGCGCCGCAUUCAGGGGCUUCAUGUC